UACGUAGGGGCCGAGCGUUGUCCGGAGUUACUGGGCGUAAAGAGCGUGUAGGCGGCUAGAUAGGUCCGUUGUGAAAACUCGAGGCUCAACCUCGAGACGUCGAUGGAAACCAUCUGGCUAGAGUCCGGAAGAGGAGAGUGGAAUUCCUGGUGUAGCGGUGAAAUGCGCAGAUAUCAGGAAGAACACCCGUGGCGAAGGCGGCUCUCUGGUACGUGACUGACGCUGAGACGCGAAAGCGUGGGGAGCAAACAGG
This 253-nucleotide ribosomal RNA is filed under the name uncultured bacterium. RNAcentral describes it as "partial 16S ribosomal RNA". It matches the Rfam family "Bacterial small subunit ribosomal RNA", at positions 524 to 776 of the family's 1533-position model. The record is from RNAcentral.